AUGGAAGUGAUGUUAGCUAGUACUGCCUUAAGUGUAAGCUUAAAAUUCGCUGCAUCGCCAGCCUUGAAGAAGCUCCUUGCUAAUGCUUCAACGUACCUUGGAGUGGACAUGGUGCAUGAGCUCCAUGAACUGGAGAGCACUAUUUUGCCACAGUUCGAGCUGUUGAUUGAAGCAGCAGACAAGGGAAACCACAGGCCCAAGUUGGACAAAUGGCUUCAGGAACUCAAAGAAGGCUUUUACAUGGCUGAAGACUUGCUGGACGAGCAUGAGUACAAUCUCCUGAAGCGCCAAGCAAAGGGAAAGGAUUCCUUGCCGGCCAGUGCCUCCUCCAUCAACAACACUUUUAUGAAGCCUCUGCAUGCUGCGUCGAGUAGGCUCGCCAAUCUAAGCUCAAAGAACAGAACGCUAAUUCGCCAUCUGAAGGAACUGAAGGCUACCCUCGUGAAAGCCAAGGACUUUCAUCAAUUGCUCUGCUUACCAGCUGGUUCUGGUUAUAAUGCAGAGAGCCCUGCCAUACCAUCAGCUGCUUUUCCCGAGACCACAUCAAUACCACCUCUGAAAGUGAUUGGUCGUGACAAGGAGCGUGAUCGUAUAAUUGAUCAACUUACCAAGACAACUGCAACUACCGAGUGUAGUACAUCUAUGUACUCGGGUUUGGCAAUUGUUGGAGCUGGAGGCAUGGGAAAGUCCACCUUGGCACCACAUGUUUACAAUGACAAGAGGGUAAAGGAAUAUUUUGAUGUAACUAUGUGGGUAAGCAUCUCACGCAAACUUGAUGUCCGCCGUCAUACACGGGCGAUCAUUGAGUCUACAUCUCAGGGGGAAUGUCCGCGCAUUGAUAACCUUGAUACUCUGCAGCGCAAGUUGACAGACAUACUGCAAAAAUCAGGUAAAUUCCUGCUUGUGUUGGAUGAUGUUUGGUUUGAACCUGGCAGUGAGAGGGAAUGGAACCAACUAUUAGCUCCCCUAGUUUCCCAACAGACGGGAAGCAAAGUUUUGGUAACUUUCUCGACGCAAUACAUUUCCAGCUGCUCUUUGUUGUGA
This 1044-nucleotide ribosomal RNA is filed under the name Triticum aestivum (bread wheat). RNAcentral's name for it is "partial small subunit ribosomal RNA". The record is from RNAcentral. Lineage: Eukaryota; Viridiplantae; Streptophyta; Magnoliopsida; Poales; Poaceae.